AAGCCAUGCGAGUCGAGAGGUGUAAGACCUCGGCAUACUGCUCAGUAACACGUGGUUAACCUGCCCUAAGGUGGAGAAUACUCCCGGGAAACUGGGGUUAAUGCUCCAUAGUGGAUAUGUCCUGGAAUGGUAUAUCCUCGAAAGAUCCGUCGCCUUAGGAUGGGACUGCGUCCGAUUAGGUUGUUGGCGGGGUAACGGCCCACCAAGCCAUUGAUCGGUACGGGUUGUGGGAGCAAGAUCCCGGAGAUGGAUUCUGAGACAUGAAUCCAGGCCCUACGGGGCGCAGCAGGCGCGCAAACUUUACAAUGCGAGCAAUCGUGAUAAGGAAACCCUGAGUGCCUGUCGAUACAGGCUGUUCAUAUAUCUAAAUCAUAUGUGAAGAAAGGGCAGGGCAAGACCGGUGCCAGCCGCCGCGGUAAUACCGGCUGCUCGAGUGAUGGCCACUAUUACUGGGUUUAAAGCGUCCGUAGCUUGACUGUUAGGUCCCUUGGGAAAUCUUCGCGCUUAACGUGAAGGCGUCUAAGAGAUACCGGCAGUCUUGGAACUGGGAGAGGUAAACCGUACUUCGGGGGUAGGAGUGAAAUCUUGUAAUCCUCGAGGGACGACCUAUGGCGAAGGCAGUUUACCAGAACAGCUUCGACAGUGAGGGACGAAAGCUGGGGGAGCAAACGGGAUUAGAUACCCCGGUAGUCCCAGCCGUAAACAAUGUGCGUUAGGUGUGUCGGUAACCACGCGUUACUGAUGCGCCGAAGAGAAAUCGUGAAACGCACCACCUGGGAAGUA
Molecule: ribosomal RNA, 783 nt
Filed under: uncultured bacterium
Lineage: Bacteria
Description: bacterial SSU rRNA
Rfam family: Archaeal small subunit ribosomal RNA
Source: RNAcentral